Molecule: transfer RNA, 99 nt
Filed under: Apiotrichum porosum
Lineage: Eukaryota; Fungi; Basidiomycota; Tremellomycetes; Trichosporonales; Trichosporonaceae
Description: tRNA-Val
Rfam family: tRNA
About the family: Transfer RNA (tRNA) molecules are approximately 80 nucleotides in length.
Source: RNAcentral
GGCGAUUUAGCUCAGUUGGUUAGAGCGUGUGCUUAACACUUGGAUCCUCUGGAUCGAGCGUUGCGCACAAGGUCGGCGGUUCGACCCCGUCAAACGUCA